AUUGAACGCUGGCGGCAGGCCUAACACAUGCAAGUCGAGCGGGGGUAGCAAUACCCUAGCGGCGAACGGGUGAGGAAUGCUUGGGAAUCUGCCUCGUAGUGGGGGAUAACGUUCCGAAAGGAACGCUAAUACCGCAUACGUCCUACGGGAGAAAGGGGGGGGAUCUUCGGACCUCUCGCUAUGAGAUGAGCCCAAGCGGGAUUAGCUAGUUGGUGAGGUAAAGGCUCACCAAGGCUACGAUCCCUAGCUGGUCUGAGAGGAUGAUCAGCCACACUGGAACUGAGACACGGUCCAGACUCCUACGGGAGGCAGCAGUGGGGAAUAUUGGACAAUGGGCGGAAGCCUGAUCCAGCCAUGCCGCGUGUGUGAAGAAGG
This 375-nucleotide ribosomal RNA is filed under the name uncultured bacterium. Its description in RNAcentral is "bacterial SSU rRNA". It matches the Rfam family "Bacterial small subunit ribosomal RNA", at positions 30 to 414 of the family's 1533-position model. The record is from RNAcentral.